CCUACGGGGGGCAGCAGUGGGGAAUAUUGCACAAUGGGCGCAAGCCUGAUGCAGCGACGCCGCGUGGGGGAUGACGGCCUUCGGGUUGUAAACUCCUUUCGCUAGGGACGAAGCUUUUUGUGACGGUACCUAGAUAAGAAGCACCGGCUAACUACGUGCCAGCAGCCGCGGUAAUACGUAGGGUGCGAGCGUUGUCCGGAAUUACUGGGCGUAAAGGGCUCGUAGGUGGUUUGUCGCGUCGUCUGUGAAAUUCCGGGGCUUAACUCCGGGCGUGCAGGCGAUACGGGCAUAACUUGAGUACUGUAGGGGUAACUGGAAUUCCUGGUGUAGCGGUGAAAUGCGCAGAUAUCAGGAGGAACACCGAUGGCGAAGGCAGGUUACUGGGCAGUUACUGACGCUGAGGAGCGAAAGCAUGGGUAGCGAA
This 424-nucleotide ribosomal RNA is filed under the name uncultured Bacteroides sp. RNAcentral's name for it is "bacterial SSU rRNA". It matches the Rfam family "Bacterial small subunit ribosomal RNA", at positions 338 to 772 of the family's 1533-position model. Lineage: Bacteria; Pseudomonadati; Bacteroidota; Bacteroidia; Bacteroidales; Bacteroidaceae. The record is from RNAcentral.